Molecule: long non-coding RNA, 435 nt
Filed under: Brassica napus (rape)
Lineage: Eukaryota; Viridiplantae; Streptophyta; Magnoliopsida; Brassicales; Brassicaceae
Description: long non-coding RNA (BNAP_LNC018317)
Source: RNAcentral
GAGGUGAAAGGAAAGGAAGAUGAUGAAGAGUGUUAAAAGAUGAGAUGGAGGGUGUUGAAUCUUGAAACCAUUGUGGAUAGUCUAAAAUGUGGUAAUUAAAUUUUUUUUAUUCAACAGUUUAAACCAUUAAAAGAGAUAGUUUGAUUUUUAAAAUGCGUACGUGGAUUAAAUGGAGUUGAAAUCAUUCAACUAAUUGAAUAUCCCAAAAUGUGGGACUAUUGGUGAUAGAUGAAACUUUCUAAAUAUUUCUUAUUUUUUAUAUCCUCCUAAUUACUUAAAAUCAAUAGACUCAUUAUUAAUUAAAUGACUUAUUUUUGUUUCAUAUAUAAAUUUUUAUUUUUUUGAAUUCUCUAUAAACAAAUACUAUGUUUAUUUAUAUUGAAUAUAAAAAUAAUUUUUAAUUAGUAAAAUAGGAUGUUGAAUUUUAUUAAAGAA